GAGAGAGAGAGAGAAAGGAGUGAGUGACCUGAUGCCUUAUCCCUGGGGCCCUGGAAAGCCCACCACUCCACCACACACACUCACAUACACGCAUACACGCACGCGCACACACACACACCACCAAGAAGGAAAGGUCGGAGCUGCUUCCAUCAGUUCCUAAUCUAAUCCCCGGUUAAAGUCAGACUUAUGAGUCCAAUGGAGCUUGUGUAAUUUUCCUGCUGGUAGCUCUCUCUUUGCUUCCCCUUUCCCUUUGUUUCUGUCUGGUCUCACGUCCUCUCUUUCCAUGUCAGUAAUACUAGGGUGUGUGUGUGUGUGUGUGUGUGUGUGUGUGUGUGUGUGUGUGCGCGCGCACGUAUGCACGUUCUCAUGACUUACUGCCUUUCUGCAGCCUCCUGUUUACAGUAUCUAAGACCCAUCACUAACUCACUCACUGGAGUGACUUUGUAAUUCCCUAGAGCAAUUCUCCAAAGUCACCGUUUUCACAAUUCAGGGCCCAGGAAGUCUGGAAUAUUUAUAUGCUUCCUGUGCUUUGCACAAGUGCUUCUAGCGUCUCUAGAGGGCCCACCUGGCCCUUAUCUUCCCCAGCCUAGCAUUACCCUUGUCAGAGAAUUGGAGCUAUGCACCUGAGUCCACCCAGCUAAGGGAUAGACCCAGGGUAGGCUCCUGGCUUGGAACAGUGACGCUGAAUAAGCCAUAGCUUCUCAGGAGCUUAGGAUGUAUGACUGUCACUUCCACAACCUAACUGCCACCAUCCACCGUGCCCUGCUCUUACACAGAGUGAGACCUGGAACCUCUAAACCAUGACGUGCAUUCCUGCUUUGAAGAAAAUAGGCUGAGGCUCAGAAGGACCGUGAAAUUUUCUCAAGGUCAUCGAUCUAUCACAGGCAGACCUCCUUUUAAGAAGAUUGCUAGAAUGACUGAUGAAGGAGCGCAUGGCAAUCCAGACACAUGCAUUGGGCAUUGGCAUCUCCUCACUCACUGCCACCAACUCCAUCGCCCCUCGACACCGGAAACUGAAUUCUAGUACUGUGGAGGGACUGCUGGCAUCUACAAUGAGCCAAAUGCCAAGAAGGAUAAGGAGUCCCAAGAUAGGCAGGACCACAGAGAGAGCCACUGCUGGAGAGGACAGACUUCCGGGAGCUGGGGCUGAAACAGAGACCACCAAUGACCACCCUCAAGGAGACGGCUGAGA
Long non-coding RNA from Alexandromys fortis (reed vole), 1192 nucleotides. RefSeq lists it as uncharacterized. The record is from RefSeq and is a predicted model, not a curated record. The transcript is spliced from 3 exons. Lineage: Eukaryota; Metazoa; Chordata; Mammalia; Rodentia; Cricetidae.